GAUAAACGCUGGCGGCGUGCCUAACACAUGCAAGUCGAACGCCCUUUUGCGCAAGUGAGAGGGAGUGGCGGACGGGUGAGUACCACGUGGGUACCUACCUUGAGGUGAGGAAUACCACCGAGAAAUCGGUGACAAGACCGCAUACGCUCGGGCAACCGAGCAAAGUCAUGCAAAUGACGCCACAAGAUGAGCCUGCGCCUGAUUAGCUGGUUGGUGAGGAACAGCUCACCAAGGCGACGAUCAGUAGCUGGUCUGAGAGGAUGAUCAGCCACACUGGGAUUGAGAAC
This 287-nucleotide ribosomal RNA is filed under the name uncultured bacterium. RNAcentral's name for it is "partial 16S ribosomal RNA". It matches the Rfam family "Bacterial small subunit ribosomal RNA", at positions 28 to 326 of the family's 1533-position model. The record is from RNAcentral.